UACGGGGGGAGCAAGCGUUGUUCGGAUUUACUGGGCGUAAAGGGCGCGUAGGCGGUCGUGACAAGUCACUUGUGAAAUCUCCGGGCUUAACUCGGAACGGUCAAGUGAUACUGUCGGACUAGAGUCCGGUAGGGGAGCAUGGAAUUCCCGGUGUAGCGGUGAAAUGCGCAGAUAUCGGGAGGAACACCAGGGGCGAAGGCGGUGCUCUGGGCCGGAACUGACGCUGAGGAGCGAAAGCGUGGGUAGCAAACAGG
Molecule: ribosomal RNA, 254 nt
Filed under: uncultured bacterium
Lineage: Bacteria
Description: partial 16S ribosomal RNA
Rfam family: Bacterial small subunit ribosomal RNA
Source: RNAcentral